Molecule: ribosomal RNA, 119 nt
Filed under: Pteropus alecto (black flying fox)
Lineage: Eukaryota; Metazoa; Chordata; Mammalia; Chiroptera; Pteropodidae
Also listed under: 1 other name
Source: RNAcentral
GAUAACGGCCAUGCUACCCUGAACAAGCCCGAUCCUGUCUGAUCUCUGAAGCUAAGCAGGGUCGGGCCUGGUUAGCACUUAGAUGGGAGACCACCUAGGAAGACCAGAUGCUGUAGGCG